GACGAACGCUGGCGGCGUGCUUAACACAUGCAAGUCGAACGGUAAGGCCCUUCGGGGUACACGAGUGGCGAACGGGUGAGUAACACGUGGGUGAUCUGCCCUGCACUUCGGGAUAAGCCUGGGAAACUGGGUCUAAUACCGGAUAGGACCACUGCCUGCAUGGGUGGUGGUGGAAAGCUUUUGCGGUGUGGGAUGGGCCCGCGGCCUAUCAGCUUGUAGGUGGGGUGAUGGCCUACCAAGGCGACGACGGGUAGCCGGCCUGAGAGGGGGACCGGCCACACUGGACUGGGAUACGGCCCAGACUCCUACGGGAGGCAGCAGUGGGGAAUAUUGCACAAUGGGCGCAAGCCUGAUGCAGCGACGCCGCGUGAGGGAUGACGGCCUUCGGGUUGUAAACCUCUUUCAGCACCGACGAAGCGCAAGUGACGGUAGGUGCAGAAGAAGGACCGGCCAACUACGUGCCAGCCGCCGCCGUAA
This 477-nucleotide ribosomal RNA is filed under the name uncultured bacterium. RNAcentral describes it as "partial 16S ribosomal RNA". It matches the Rfam family "Bacterial small subunit ribosomal RNA", at positions 28 to 523 of the family's 1533-position model. The record is from RNAcentral.